Coffea arabica (coffee) is the source of this 949-nucleotide long non-coding RNA. RefSeq lists it as uncharacterized. The record is from RefSeq and is a predicted model, not a curated record. Lineage: Eukaryota; Viridiplantae; Streptophyta; Magnoliopsida; Gentianales; Rubiaceae.
AUCCCCUUUUGCACCAAUCUUCUUUGUCUCAAAAUCCCAUAAACCACUUCUAUCACUGCCCUUUUCAUCACUUUUUACCUCGAAAUAUAUUCUACCUCGAAAUAUACUAACUCCUCCUGAACUGUAUUCAUAUUUGCACUUUAUUUCUUGAAUUCAUUAAAUAUGCCCUUUACCCUCCUUUUAGGACAAAAAUGCUCUUUCUAUAUUAGUAUGCUUUUCUGGUUUGAGGGAUGCAUAUAUAAUAUCUCUAAGUUCGAAUUAUUUCAUUGAUGCUACAAAGAAGGGAAACCUUGCCAGGUUUAUAAAUCAUUCAUGCCUACCUAAUUGUGAGACAAGGAAAUGGACUGUACUGGGGGAAACACGGGUUGGGGUAUUUGCAAAGGUAGGUAUAUCUACCGGAACAGAGCUAUCAUGCAAUUACGACUUUGAGUGGUAUGGUGGUGCGACUGUUAACUCUCUGUGCGGGGCUCCUAACUGUUGUCUAUUUCUCGGUGCAGAUUCUCAGUGUUUCCAGGAACAUAACCAUGUAUGGGAAGAGGGAGAUGACAGGUAAUUGUUUUCUCUAUUUGCUGUAUUUGCUUUCUGCUUGACAAGUUACCUUUGCCUUCUCAUAGCCAUUGGAUUUGAUAUUGUUAACUAACUGAUGUGCGCUUGCUAAGGGAGAUUUGAACAUUGGUUACUGGACAAAGAGGAGAUGAGCAUAUUGGCUGCUGCAUCUUUUCGGACUGUUAAAUUAUGAAGCAUUACUGCUUUUGCCAAUCCAUUAAAGUACGUAGAAUACCAAACUCUACCUGCCCAAAAGUAUUUAAGUUGGGUUCCUAAGCUACUUGAGAAAUUGACAGGGAAAAUGCUUGAUUGUUUAUUCGUAAGGGGCUGUUUCUCUAUGCUUUGUGUUUCUUAUUAUUAUGAAUUUUACAGACAAAGAAAAGGAAACAGUUUUGGUUUAACA